UGGGCAGGUAAUGACGCCAUUUUGUCGUGGUGUGUGUGAAUUCAAGGAGCUGUUGAUGAGAAGUUGGAACAUUUGUUUUGGCAAGUUCUACAGACAUUUUUUCCAAAACAUUUACCUUUUUAUCGUUUCUUUGUUUCCCCCGAGAGACUGUUUGAGCAGUGAAAAUCAUUGUUUGUUUAAACGACGGAACAUUUUUCUCCGGUUAGCUAGUGUUUUCGCUUGCGUGCGGUGGACAUCACCGUGCAUGAACCCCUGAUCGGCGCACUUUAUUUCGUCUUUUCCCUUCUAUUGUUUCUUUUUCACUCGAGGAGCUGUUGUUGGGCGUGUAAACUUUGUUUGAACCUCUGGCCGUCGCCGAACACCACGGCCGCGCUUCAGAGGAUGAAGCGCGAAAAUGAAAAGUUGUCAAUGACGAGCCUGACAUCAGCCUGAUGAUAUUUCAAUGGCCUGCUCUUUCUACAGUAAACCAGGUUGCAGCUGACAAGGACUCAUACAGGCAAACUCCAGUGAGAAUCUUCUGUGUUGAUCUAUAAAGUGCUCAGCUAAACCCAUAUAGAGCGAGGAUCGUCUUAGAAGGAUGUUUGGUAAUGGAUGAACUGACCAACCUCAGGACUUCUGUGUCCUUUUUUCUGACUGAUUUAUGUCCUGCACCUGGACUACCCUAACUGUAUGAAAAAUACUUUAUAUUUUUUUCAGCAGGUAAUGCUCAACCUAGGAAAAUGUGAGCUGGCACCUAAAAUUGAAUACUGCCAAUAUUGUGAACUCAGGAGUGUAAACAGACCAUAUAGUUUUGAUGCAAUUUGUUGUGAUUCUGAGAUAGACUAUUCAUGUGCUUAACAAUAAGCUGAUUUGUUAAAACUAGGUUUUUUCAUGUUUUAUAAGGAAAAUGUUUUCAGGACAUGACAUUUUGUUGCAUUUGGAACUGAAUUAAAAUAAAACAUAAAAUUGAA
This is a long non-coding RNA of Ctenopharyngodon idella (grass carp), 950 nucleotides long. RefSeq lists it as uncharacterized. The transcript is spliced from 3 exons. The record is from RefSeq and is a predicted model, not a curated record. NCBI's taxonomy places the organism in Eukaryota, Metazoa, Chordata, Actinopteri, Cypriniformes, Xenocyprididae.